RNAcentral lists this long non-coding RNA (1464 nucleotides) under Homo sapiens (human). RNAcentral describes it as "epigenetically induced MYC interacting lncRNA 1". Lineage: Eukaryota; Metazoa; Chordata; Mammalia; Primates; Hominidae. The record is from RNAcentral.
AGAAACGCCCUCACAGACACCCCGGAAGUCACGUACCCACUCUGUAGGUGCCCCGGGGCACAGGCAAGCGGACGAGCCAGUUAUCCCUCAGAGCUCCUGCUGCCUCGCCCGCUUUCUCUCGGAAACGUGAAGUGUGGCCUCAGCUGAAAGUGAGGUGGGCCUCAUUCAAUCAGUUGAAUUCUUCAAGAGAGAAAAACUGAAGUCCCUUAGAAGGAAAGAGUUCUGCCUUCAGACUGUCUUUGAACUUAAGACUGUAGCGUCGACUCCUGCCGGAAUUUCCAGCCUGCUGGCCAGCUCUGCAGAUUCACACUUGCCAGCCUCCACAAUCGCAGCUGAGGCGGAGGAACCCUAAGGGCUCAUUGAGAUCAUGGAUUUGCCCUUCUAUGCAUUGAUGGAGCACCUGCUGCCCACAGCGUCUGUAUUUGGUGCUGGGAUGCUGAGCCUCCUUCUUUAUGAAUUUUUAAAAGGACACUGAGAUCUUCAAACAGAGGCUGCCACUCUAAGCAAACAGAUCCCGAGCCCUGGACUCUGAAGCUUGGGCCCAGUUCUCCUUUUCUCCGGGUUUCAGAUCCCACUGUGAAGUGAGGGGGCCCUUCUGAUUCAGGACCCGGGGAAGCCAGGGGCAUGAGCAUCGGUGCCUCUUCUCUAUUUCAAGGACCCUUCUGGGUGUAAAGUUCUCUGAGAUGCCUUACAUGGAUUCCCACCACUGCAAGAUAACCAUCGUAUGUAAAGUGUUAUGACCAGCAGAGCGUAAUUGAAGUGCAUUCCAGAGGGAAAGACAGCGGCUCAGUAAAUCAAAGGUUUCGCCAUCAUGUAAACCCUUGGGCGACAGAGUCUACCUGUCUCCCCCUGAUAUUGUUCUAUGAGAUUUCGAUGCUAUCUUCAUUGCCAGCAGCCCUGACAAAGAUGCACUGCAGACGGAUAGCCUCUCAGGUGAGAUUAGAUUGAACCCUCCUUAUCUCUUCAUUGUGGUUUCAUCACUUUCAGGAGAUGCUCUGUUGUGAGACCUUGCUUUGUUGUUGCUGUUCUUAAAGGGAACACUCCCUUUGUUAGGAAAAUCUGACAGCUGGAAGCCGUGAGUUCUUGGCCCCUUGCCCUGAAGCAAGAGUGACCAGGCCUCUCUCCUGAGGGAAGGCCUUCCCAGGUGGGGACAUAGGCCCUAAAGUGAGAACUGAAGCAUUGUCCACUCCCUCUUUGAUGCCACAUGCAUGGACGGUUCAGUGAAUGUCGUGGGAACUCAGCUGUGCCCACCCCUGCUUUGUUACCCCGGCACUUUGGGAAACAGCAGAGUCCAGCAGAAACCACUGAAGUUUUGGGCUCGGAGGGAUUCCAGUUCAAGCCCCGGCUUCACCACCUACAAGGUUCAAUUUUGGUCUAGGAAUGGAACUUCUCUGAGUCUUAGUUGCUGUCAUCAAUAUUAUUUUACUGUCAUCAUUAUUUAUAGUAAAAUAAUAACCUCUCAGA